Molecule: non-coding RNA, 123 nt
Organism: Caenorhabditis elegans
Lineage: Eukaryota; Metazoa; Nematoda; Chromadorea; Rhabditida; Rhabditidae
Source: Ensembl
UUCAUCUAGUUUCCGACAAUUAUACGAUUAUUCUGCAUCAGUUUAUAUGUUCUUUUUUAUUUCAACGAUUGAAAGAAACAAAAAGUUAACCCUCUGGAAGUAGCUACUCAUUUUUAUAACAAC